GUUUUAGUGUGAACUUUUUUUAUUCGUAUGAAUACUGUUUCCAGAGUAACCAAUUGCAAAAUACGAAAUGUCAUUAUUCUUUGUAAAUCUUCCCGCCAUUCAUUUUAAUUAACUUAUUAUCGUUGCAUAAUACGAAAAUCUGCACUAUUUAAUUCAAAGUGAUAUAUUCCUUACGGAAAUCUGUGCGCCUUAAUGUUAUUUCCGACAGCGAAUAGAACAAAAAUAUUUCAACAAAAGAUUGAAAAGCUUUCUAUUGUUAGUCACCAUAUGUGGAGAUCGAUUAAGAAUG
This 289-nucleotide long non-coding RNA is filed under the name Mytilus galloprovincialis (Mediterranean mussel). Lineage: Eukaryota; Metazoa; Mollusca; Bivalvia; Mytilida; Mytilidae. The record is from RNAcentral.